RNAcentral lists this ribosomal RNA (160 nucleotides) under uncultured bacterium. RNAcentral's name for it is "partial 16S ribosomal RNA". It matches the Rfam family "Bacterial small subunit ribosomal RNA", at positions 372 to 524 of the family's 1533-position model. The record is from RNAcentral.
UGGGCGCAAGCCUGAUCCAGCAAUGUCGCGUGAGUGAAGAAGGCCUUCGGGUUGUAAAGCACUUUUGUCAGGGAAGAAACGGUGAGGGCUAAUAUCCUUUGCUAAUGACGGUACCUGAAGAAUAAGCACCGGCUAACUACGUGCCAGCAGCCGCGGUAAU